This 1462-nucleotide ribosomal RNA is filed under the name uncultured organism. RNAcentral describes it as "bacterial SSU rRNA". It matches the Rfam family "Bacterial small subunit ribosomal RNA". The record is from RNAcentral.
CCUAACACAUGCAAGUCGAGCGAGAAAUCACACUUCGGUGUGAGAGUAGAGCGGCGCACGGGUGAGUAACGCGUGGAUAAUCUGCCCAUGGAUUUGGGAUAACCCUGCGAAAGCGGGGCUAAUACCGGAUAGUCUGGCCAUUAUAUAAGUGGUCGGUAAAGGUAGCCUCUGAUACAAGCUACUGUCCAUGGAUGAGUCCGCGUCUCAUUAGCUUGUUGGUGGGGUAAGAGCCUACCAAGGCAACGAUGAGUAGCUGGUCUGAGAGGAUGAUCAGCCACACUGGGACUGAAACACGGCCCAGACUCCUACGGGAGGCAGCAGUGGGGAAUAUUGGGCAAUGGGCGCAAGCCUGACCCAGCAACGCCGUGUGAGGGAAGAAGGUUUUCGGAUCGUAAACCUCUGUCAGAAGGGAAGAAGUGGCAUGAUUUUAAUAGAAUCAUGCUUUGACGGUACCUUCAGAGGAAGCACCGGCUAACUCCGUGCCAGCAGCCGCGGUAAUACGGAGGGUGCGAGCGUUAUUCGGAAUUACUGGGCGUAAAGCGCGCGUAGGUUGCGUGGUAAGUCAGAUGUGAAAGCCCCCGGCUCAACCGGGGAACCGCAUUUGAAACUGCCAUGCUUGAGUACGACAGAGGGUGGCGGAAUUCCCGGUGUAGGAGUGAAAUCCGUAGAUAUCGGGAGGAAUACCAGUGGCGAAGGCGGCCACCUGGGUCGAUACUGACGCUGAGGUGCGAAAGCGUGGGUAGCAAACAGGAUUAGAUACCCUGGUAGUCCACGCCGUAAACGAUGGAUGCUAGGUGUUGGAUGCAAGACAUUCAGUGCCGCAGUUAACGCGAUAAGCAUCCCGCCUGGGGACUACGGUCGCAAGGCUGAAACUCAAAGGAAUUGACGGGGGCCCGCACAAGCGGUGGAGUAUGUGGUUUAAUUCGAUGCAACGCGAAGAACCUUACCUGGACUUGACAUCCCGCGAAUACUUUUGAAACGAAGUGGUGCCCUUCGGGGAACGCGGUGACAGGUGCUGCAUGGCAGUCGUCAGCUCGUGCCGUGAGGUGUUGGGUUAAGUCCCGCAACGAGCGCAACCCCUAUACUUAGUUGCCAUCAGGUAAUGCUGGGCACUCUAGGGAGACUGCCCGGGUCAACCGGGAGGAAGGUGGGGACGACGUCAAGUCAUCAUGGCCCUUACGUCCAGGGCUACACACGUACUACAAUGGUGGGAACAGAGGGUGGCGAAACCGUGAGGUCAAGCAAAUCCCAAAAAACCUAUCACAGUUCGGAUUGCAGUCUGCAACUCGACUGCAUGAAGCUGGAAUCGCUAGUAAUCGCGGAACAGCAUGCCGCGGUGAAUACGUUCCCGGGCAUUGUACACACCGCCCGUCACACCACGAAAGUCGGUUCUACCCGAAGUCAGUGAGCUAACCUUAUGGAAGCAGCUGCCGACGGUAGGGCUGGUAAUUGGGGUGAAGUC